This 254-nucleotide ribosomal RNA is filed under the name uncultured bacterium. RNAcentral describes it as "partial 16S ribosomal RNA". It matches the Rfam family "Bacterial small subunit ribosomal RNA", at positions 524 to 776 of the family's 1533-position model. The record is from RNAcentral.
UACGAAGGGUGCAAGCGUUACUCGGAAUUACUGGGCGUAAAGCGUGCGUAGGUGGUUUGUUAAGUCUGAUGUGAAAGCCCUGGGCUCAACCUGGGAAUUGCAUUGGAUACUGGCAGGCUAGAGUGCGGUAGAGGGUAGUGGGAUUCCCGGUGUAGCAGUGAAAUGCGUAGAGAUCGGGAGGAACAUCUGUGGCGGAAGGCGACUACCUGGACCAGCACUGACACUGAGGCACGAAAGCGUGGGGAGCAAACAGG